AGAACUCUAGUGAACGUUUUUUUUGGUCAACGUUUAUCCUCAGCAAGAAUAGCUGUCGAGUGCGCAUUUGGGCGAUUAAAAGCUCGGUUUGGCUGUUUAAGGAGAGAAAUGGACAUAAAUCUUAAGGACUUUCUGUUGUAAUUCAUUCCUGUUUUUUUCUACUACAUAACUUUUGUGAAAUUAGACAAGAGGUAGUUAAUCCAAAUGAUGUGCUAGUUGCUCAAAACUACGAUGCUGAAUUUUAGCCUUUAUCAAAUCAAUGAUAACAAUGACGGGUGGUUAAAAAAUCAGAAUUAUCUUUGUUAAAUAUUUUGAAAAAGUAACAACAUAAAAUACAACUUGUAAGGUAAAAUGUUAUAAUGUCACUGAAAGUUGAAAUAAGUGCAUUCGUUGUCUUCAUUCUCUUGAUUUUUGCUUUUCUCUGGGAAGGGUCACCAUAUACUGCGGAACUGACUGAUGAUGGCAGCUGGGGGGGUUAAAAGAGGGUCGAUAUUGUUGGGGGACUCUCCCACUGAUUUAUUUUUCUUCAGGUACUCAAACAUGUAUUUUGUGACAAGAGUAUCAAAGUUUUCCGCACAGCCUUUUGAUACAAGCAACCCAAGGUUUGUUUUAAAACAGAAGUCAAUAAAGAAUUAUCUGCUGACUCAGCAAUUUAAAAAAUUAAACAAAGUUUAAACGGCUAAUAAAAGGUUACUGAUACCUUCACAUGAAGAAGUUAUUAUUACGUGUGGAUUUUGCAAGCAAUUUAUUUUAAGGUAUUCAUUAAAGUCCCAUACUAAAAGAGGAAGAACGAGUCAUAACAUUGCUGAAAUCAUUGAAGAAUCAAAAUAAAAUUUCCCGAAGUUUGUACAAUAAGCUGAAGCCUAUUGGCAGUCAACCACCAGUUCCAGUACGACCCAGUCCUAUCAAUGCCAGGCUCUGCCUAUUUUAAUAUUGCAAACCAAGUAGCUGAAUGGCUUUCUGUAGUAGAUGAAUGCAAAACAAACUAUUCUACGAAAAGCAUUGCGGAUAGUUUGAAGACCAUAAAGAGGGUGAACAGCUUAUUAGUUUUGACGUAACAUCUCUGUAUACAAAUGUACCUGUAUAUGAAGCCAUCGAAGAGUGCACAGUUAUUAUACUCUAGUUGAUAAAAUAACUUUCACAAAAUUGCUCAAGAUUUGUAGCUGUAACGUUAUUAUGUUAACAAACGAUGGUUACUACCGGCAAGUUGAUGGUUUAGCGAUGGGAGCCCCUCCUCUCCCAAACGGUUGGAUGCACAAAUUUGAUAAGAUCGUAAAAGGUGAUGCUAGUCUAUUUGCAAGAUAUAUGGAUGAUUAUUUGAGAAAUAUAAAGAUGAACCAGAUUGAAAACGUGUUACAGAAUAUCAACAAUCUUCAUCCAUCAUUAAAAUUUACGGUUGGAAAUGAAAGAAACGGUGAAUUGCCGUUCUUAGAUAUGUUAAUUACCGUAAACAAAAUGGAUUGCUAGAGUCAACUUGGUAUAGCAAAAAGACGGACACAGGUUUAUUAAUGAACUUCCAUGCCUUGUCCCCUGAUAAAUAUAAACGUUCAGUGGUGUCAGAAAUGGUACAUCGGAUAAUUAGAGCUUGUAGUACAUGGUCAUAUAUACACGAAAGUUUAGAGAAAGCUAAAAAGAUAUUACAUGGUUAAGAAAGUUGAAAACUGUUCUUCCUUCCCUGAAACAACCAGUUGAUAAGGCCUUUAAAAGUGGUGUGGUCUAUGAAAUUUGUUGCGAUGUAAUUCGCGCUAUGUCAGUGGCAUCUUAUCACCCGCAUAAAGGAGCAUUCAAGAGUUUCCAGUCCAUUGGGCUUACAUUUUAAUAGCUGCGAAUGUAUACUAUCAAUGGAAAAGUUAAAAUUUUAUCGACCUUGAAGUCUCAACGGCACUUAUUGAUUUUGGAAGCUCUUUUUAUAAAUGACACACUCUUUUGAUAAAAUUUUAAUAUCAUUUCAAUAUUUUUUAGUAUAGUGAACGUAUGUUGUAGAUACUUUUGUUUUAAUCUGUAUUAACUAUUAUUUUAGAUUUUACCUGAUGACAACUAUAAAAGUCGAAAUAUAUCGUUAUUGAUAAAAAUUGUUGGUCACUUUACCAAGAAAUAUUCAUUAAAGCUCUCACACAUUUUUCUAUCAAGAGAGCUUCUAACAAUUUUAGCAGAUCUUUUUCUCUGGAAUAGCUCUCAAGACUAUCAGUCUCCGCAGAAAAAUUAGCUUUAUUAUAUCAUUCCUCAUCAUUAGUUCCGCGCCAUCUCCAACUACUGCUUGUUUCAAAAAAAUCAAUCGUUCUUUAGCUGAUUUUCUGGUUAUGCUCUUAUUAUUGCCUACAUAAUGUUUCAACUUGGGAAAUUCUCGAGAUUGCAACAUAAGAUUACGCAACUGGUACCUACAAUACGAUGGCUAUAGAAAUAGAUAGUUUUAGUAAAGAACUAAAUUGUAAAAAACUUUAAAUAUGCUCGCCGGUAAAGGAAAUGUUUAAAACUCUCUUUUCUUGUUCCCUUUCCUUGUUUUGUAAUUUAACACAAUAGAAUGCUAUUUUUACAGUAUUGAUUGAUGACUGUCAAUAGUCAACGCACGCAGUGUUGAUGUAGUAGUCUGAUGUUGUUGGCGUUAUCUAAUGAAACGAUAUUUAUCUGUUACGUUGCAGCCAAGAACACAGAAAACGGAAGAAAUGUUUCCCUUAUUUACAAAACAUCGGUGAGAAAAAAGCAAUAAUGCAGGGAAAACUUUGUAUAAUUAAUAUAAUAAUGCUGUUUAAACUUGCUGUAAAACAAAUGCGUUUAUAACAGAAUAAACAUUUUUAUGAAGAAGAGAGGAGAGCACCUACACACCUACUUUACGGCGAAGCAAAAUAUGAGUGUUUGGUUUAGUCAGAAAUUUUGCCUUAACAUGUCUUGUUUUUGACGACUGGUCAACCGCACGAUAGUAGAAAUAACAUGUAAGGUAGCUUUUCAAUUAAGCAGAUGUGACUACGAAGAGGCAGAUAAUCAAGGCACACAUAAAUAAAAAGGCGGUGUGUGUUGGUGAUGGGAAAAAACAUUAUAAAUCAUUUAUUUAUCGUAAGCUAUGCAAAAAAAACCUGCAAUGUAUUGUUACCCUACCAAGCGGCAUUUCCGAUGUUCGCAAGAAAAUCGCAAAUGGAGUUUCGGCUCUGCGAGGGAGGGUGUAUGGGGAGCAUGCGUAGUAGGAUAAGGGCGGGGUAUAAAAGAAGACUGAAGAAUACAGUCAUUCUGGAUUUGACUCAGAUGUACAUCAGUACGGUAAAUUUAACAUAUAUUUGAGUCAUGACUUCCGAACAAGGUCCAUCGAAUUCUUCUGCGUUGAACGCAUCCAUCAGGCAAUCCGAACCAAGAAUGGUCGAGUUGGCAGCAGCUGCAGCAGCAAAAGUGAUGCAACAAGUCGCAGCAAAACAGGAUGAAAGGCUGGAUUGGUUGACAUCAAACCUAGAAAGUAAAAGAAAAGAAGAAAACAAAAUUUAACAAGAAAGGAAAUGAAAAGAUGCACGGUUACAACCUGGAGGUUUUGGAGAAUAUGGAAAAGAUACAGAGACGGUUAGACGAUGGGAAAAUAAACAAAGCGAAGGAAACACUGGAGACGGGUCGUAAUUGGGAAUACGAGAGCCAAGAUGUUGUAGUUGCCGGAAAAUGUAGUCGAGAACGGUUAUCAGCUACCUUUUAAAUCAACUACACCUCCAUUAUACGCCAAAAACAAUGCAUCUAACCUAAGGAACAGAGAAUUUGUAGAAGUCUCUAUUUCGGAUUUGAUAAAAAAUAAUUGUAUCAAGAAGUGGCCGAAGCCCUAUACUGUGUUAAUCCUGUAACUGUGGCAGACGGAGAAAAACCUAGAUUGUUUUUAGAUUUAAGACAUGUCAACGAACAUUUAGAAUUAAAAAAGGUUCGAUUCAAAAAUUUAAAAACACUGGAAAUUUAUUUGAAAAAGACUUUUACUUCGGAACAUUCGAUUUGAAAAGCGGAUACCAUCAUGUCAAAAUAGCCGCAGAAUUUAGAAAAUAUUUAGGCUUUGCUUGGAAUUUUGAAGACGGAGUGACAAAAUAUUUCCAAUUCUUAGUUCUUCAAUUCAGAUUAGCAAGUGCUUGUUACGUUUAUACAAAACUUACAAGGCCCUCUGUUAAGAAAUGGCGAGGAGAAGGAAUAAAAUGCGUUGUGUAUUUGGACGAUGGUAUCCAGGCGACCAAGGUUAUGAGCGUGUCUCAAAAAUUCUGGAAAAAGUCCAACAAGAUCUACUUGCUGUGGGAUUUACUCUAAAUUUACAAAAAUCGAAACUCUAUCCAUAAAAACAAGCAAAAUCGUUAGGUUUUGUAGUCGACACAAACAAAAUGGAGCACAGAGUCCCGCAAGAAAAAAUAGUGAAAACAUUGCGUUUAAUUAAUUUUGCGUUAUCAAAACAAUAUUCUAAUGCUCAUGAAAUCUCAAAAAUUGCAGGGCAU
Molecule: long non-coding RNA, 4439 nt
Organism: Hydractinia symbiolongicarpus
Lineage: Eukaryota; Metazoa; Cnidaria; Hydrozoa; Anthoathecata; Hydractiniidae
Exons: 5
Source: RefSeq, a predicted model, not a curated record